UUCUUUAUUAGACAAGGAGAAAGUUCGAGGGUUUCUCUAAUUAUGCAUUGUUGAUGAGGUAUCAGCACAUCGAGUUUAUGAUUUAUUGAUAGAGCACGAGCAUGGUGGUAAUGGAAGCAGCUAUUAUAAGAAAAAAUAGAUGCUACAAGGUUCACAGUUGAUAUGGAGCAAAUUAAGGAGCAACAGUGAGAAGGGUAGGGGGAAAUAAAAACGAAGCUGAGGAAGGAGAAAGCAGAGCAGACAUAUGUGUCGUGUGCCCAUAAAUUAUCAUUAAAGAGAGGCAGAAAAAGUCAUGAAAGCAACGGAAAAGUUGUUGCUUAUGAUUAUGCUUACCAUUUUGUUCAACCAAACCAAUCAAUUCUUAGAAUUCAUUAGCUUUACUACACAUUUCUUAGCAUUUUAUUUCUUGCCCUUUUUUAUAUACUUGGCCUUGUUUGAAACCGAAAUUUUUUUUGAAUGGAUUACUUUAUUUAUAAUUAAAUUGAUUAUUCUAAUUUAUAAGAAUAAAA
Hevea brasiliensis (rubber tree) is the source of this 509-nucleotide long non-coding RNA. RefSeq lists it as uncharacterized. The transcript is spliced from 2 exons. NCBI's taxonomy places the organism in Eukaryota, Viridiplantae, Streptophyta, Magnoliopsida, Malpighiales, Euphorbiaceae. The record is from RefSeq and is a predicted model, not a curated record.